AAGCGCUUCAGUGGUUAGGAAGUUGUUUAAUAUAUUCUUAUUAAAAGCGAAUUCAAAAUGAACAUUUAAUGGGAGCAUCACAAGUUCAACUCUCAUCUGAGUCACUUUUCGUAACAUGAUUUAAGCUGAAAGCAAAAAAAAAAAAAAAAAAAAAAAAAAACUGGUUUUUUCUUAUGGUUUGUAUAUUCACCACGUUGAAAC
Molecule: long non-coding RNA, 201 nt
Filed under: Medicago truncatula (barrel medic)
Lineage: Eukaryota; Viridiplantae; Streptophyta; Magnoliopsida; Fabales; Fabaceae
Description: lncRNA gene20443
Source: RNAcentral